Molecule: ribosomal RNA, 1232 nt
Filed under: Haloarcula argentinensis
Lineage: Archaea; Methanobacteriati; Methanobacteriota; Halobacteria; Halobacteriales; Haloarculaceae
Description: partial 23S ribosomal RNA
Rfam family: Archaeal large subunit ribosomal RNA
Source: RNAcentral
CGUACCGAGAACCGACACAGGUGUCCAUGGCGGCGAAAGCCAAGGCCUGUCGGGAGCAACCAACGUUAGGGAAUUCGGCAAGUUAGUCCCGUACCUUCGGAAGAAGGGAUGCCUGCUCCGGAACGGAGCAGGUCGCAGUGACUCGGAAGCUCGGACUGUCUAGUAACAACAUAGGUGACCGCAAAUCCGCAAGGACUCGUACGGUCACUGAAUCCUGCCCAGUGCAGGUAUCUGAACACCUCGUACAAGAGGACGAAGGACCUGUCAACGGCGGGGGUAACUAUGACCCUCUUAAGGUAGCGUAGUACCUUGCCGCAUCAGUAGCGGCUUGCAUGAAUGGAUUAACCAGAGCUUCACUGUCCCAACGUUGGGCCCGGUGAACUGUACAUUCCAGUGCGGAGUCUGGAGACACCCAGGGGGAAGCGAAGACCCUAUGGAGCUUUACUGCAGGCUGUCGCUGAGACGUGGUCGCCGAUGUGCAGCAUAGGUAGGAGUCGUUACAGAGGUACCCGCGCUAGCGGGCCACCCAGACAACAGUGAAAUACUACCCGUCGGUGACUGCGACUCUCACUCCGGGAGGAGGACACCGAUAGCCGGGCAGUUUGACUGGGGCGGUACGCGCUCGAAAAGAUAUCGAGCGCGCCCUAUGGCUAUCUCAGCCGGGACAGAGACCCGGCGAAGAGUGCAAGAGCAAAAGAUAGCUUGACAGUGUUCUUCCCAACGAGGAACGCUGACGCGAAAGCGUGGUCUAGCGAACCAAUUAGCCUGCUUGAUGCGGGCAAUUGAUGACAGAAAAGCUACCCUAGGGAUAACAGAGUCGUCACUCGCAAGAGCACAUAUCGACCGAGUGGCUUGCUACCUCGAUGUCGGUUCCCUCCAUCCUGCCCGUGCAGAAGCGGGCAAGGGUGAGGUUGUUCGCCUAUUAAAGGAGGUCGUGAGCUGGGUUUAGACCGUCGUGAGACAGGUCGGCUGCUAUCUACUGGGUGUGUACUGGUGUCUGACAAGAACGACCGUAUAGUACGAGAGGAACUACGGUUGGUGGCCACUGGUGUACCGGUUGUUCGAGAGAGCACGUGCCGGGUAGCCACGCCACACGGGGUAAGAGCUGAACGCAUCUAAGCUCGAAACCCACUUGGAAAAGAGACACCGCUGAGGUCCCGCGUACAAGACGCGGUCGAUAGACUCGGGGUGUGCGCGUCGAGGUAACGAGACGUUAAGCCCACGAGCACUAA